RNAcentral lists this ribosomal RNA (1405 nucleotides) under uncultured bacterium. RNAcentral's name for it is "16S ribosomal RNA". It matches the Rfam family "Bacterial small subunit ribosomal RNA". The record is from RNAcentral.
UAGAGUUUGAUCCUGGCUCAGGACGAACGCUAGCUACAGGCUUAACACAUGCAAGUCGAGGGGAAACGACAUCGAAAGCUUGCUUUUGAUGGGCGUCGACCGGCGCACGGGUGAGUAACGCGUAUCCAACCUGCCCACCACUUGGGGAUAACCUUGCGAAAGUAAGACUAAUACCCAAUGAUAUCUCUAGAAGACAUCUGAAAGAGAUUAAAGAUUUAUCGGUGAUGGAUGGGGAUGCGUCUGAUUAGCUUGUUGGUGGGGUAACGGCCCACCAAGGCAACGAUCAGUAGGGGUUCUGAGAGGAAGGUCCCCCACAUUGGAACUGAGACACGGUCCAAACUCCUACGGGAGGCAGCAGUGAGGAAUAUUGGUCAAUGGGCGGAAGCCUGAACCAGCCAAGUAGCGUGCAGGAAGACGGCCCUACGGGUUGUAAACUGCUUUUAUGCGGGGAUAAAGUGCGGGACGUGUCCCGCAUUGCAGGUACCGCAGGAAUAAGGACCGGCUAAUUCCGUGCCAGCAGCCACGGUAAUACGGAAGGUCCUGGCGUUAUCCGGAUUUAUUGGGUUUAAAGGGAGCGUAGGCUGUCCGUCAAGCGUGUUGUGAAAUGUCGGGGCUCAACCCCGUCACUGCAGCGCGAACUGUCGGACUUGAGUGCGCCGGAGGAAGGCGGAAUUCGUCGUGUAGCGGUGAAAUGCUUAGAUAUCAUGAAGAACCCCGAUUGCGAAGGCAGCUUACUGGAGUGUAACUGACGCUGAAGCUCGAAAGCGCGGGUAUCGAACAGGAUUAGAUACCCUGGUAGUCCGCGCGGUAAACGAUGGGAUGCCCGCUGUAUUGCCAAUUUGUGUAAGUGGCCAAGCGAAAAGCGUUAAGCAUCCCACCUGGGGAGUACGCCGGCAACGGUGAAACUCAAAGGAAUUGACGGGGGGCCCGCACAAGCGGAGGAACAUGUGGUUUAAUUCGAUGAUACGCGAGGAACCUUACCCGGGCUUGAAUUGCAGGAGAACGAUCCAGAGAUGGUGAGGCCCUUCGGGGCUCCUGUGAAGGUGCUGCAUGGUUGUCGUCAGCUCGUGCCGUGAGGUGUCGGCUUAAGUGCCAUAACGAGCGCAACCCCUCUCCGUAGUUGCCAUCGGGUGAAGCCGGGCACUCUGCGGAUACUGCCACCGUAAGGUGUGAGGAAGGUGGGGAUGACGUCAAAUCAGCACGGCCCUUACGUCCGGGGCUACACACGUGUUACAAUGGGGCAUACAGAAAGCAGGCGGCCGGCAACGUCCGUCUAAUCAUCAAAGUGUCCCUCAGUUCGGACUGGGGUCUGCAACCCGACCCCACGAAGCUGGAUUCGCUAGUAAUCGCGCAUCAGCCAUGGCGCGGUGAAUACGUUCCCGGGCCUUGCACACACCGCCCGUCA